Mastomys coucha (southern multimammate mouse) is the source of this 1438-nucleotide long non-coding RNA. RefSeq lists it as uncharacterized. The transcript has 2 exons. The record is from RefSeq and is a predicted model, not a curated record. NCBI's taxonomy places the organism in Eukaryota, Metazoa, Chordata, Mammalia, Rodentia, Muridae.
GCCAGGAACAGACUGAAGAGGAAACAGAAUCUGAAAAGCUGUGACAGUACAAAUAGACCAGUCUGGGUGUCCCAGGGGGCAGUGGCUGGAGACAAUGUGUAAGGAAAGGUCAUGAGGACUUCCUUUUCUUAAGAUGCCAAGGCUUUCGGCUUCAAGCCCACAGUGAGGUGAGCUGCUCUGCAUCAUCAUUUGGUCCCAAACACGAUGGAGUCAGUCAACCCCAGACUCAACAGUGAACGGGUGAAAGACUGAAGUACUGAUGAAAAUGACAACACAAGGUCACAUCUUCAGGAAUGGGAAGACCGAAACUUUUUAUGCUGCAAGUUCAUGCCAAACUGACAUUAAAUUCAACGUAGCCAAUCAAACGCUCAGCCUGUUUUAUGGAUGGAGACAAAGAUCUGAGACAUUAAGAGGCACAGAAAAGCCGAAGAUGGAGAAGAAAGAGCACAAGACUCAAGGCAAGUGAAGCCUCGCACAGCCACAGCUUCAGACCUUCCCCAAAGCUCCAGGCUGACAGGAAAAUGUAGCAUCGCAGCAUCAGGACAGAACAUCGCACCAAGACACAGAAACCGAGAGCAGAGUAGUUAUCUCAGAAAAGCAACGAGGGCAACUCAGCACAGUCUUCCCAUUUCUGCCCUCAAAGGGGAGCAAACGUGUCCUACAACUUCUGCAAAAAGUUAAUUCAGUCAAAGAAAUACUUGUAAAAUGCCAGACCUUGGGGGCGAGGCAAGGGGCACAAGAAGGAACAGGACAGAGCUAGACAACAAGGAGUGAGGAAAAACCUAUGGGAAAGGGUUUGGAAUAAAGUUUUACAAACAGCACGAAAUCAUGACUCAUCAAAAGAGGAGUGUCAGGAUGGACUUUACUUAAAAUGAGUAAAAUAAAAGCACUCCUCCGAAAAGAACAUUGUCAAAGAGACUAAAGAUAAGCCAGAAUGGGAGAUAGAUUUUGUCAUACAUAUAUCUGACAAAGGGCUGGAAUCUAAAACACACCAUGAACUUGUCAAAAAUCAUUGAACUGAUUUCCAAGCAGGCCAAAAACCCUUAGGACAUACCUAAUGUCAAAGCAGCUAACAGAGACAAAAACCCACCAUAUACAAAGGCCAUUUCAACAAGGACGGCCAGGGACCUGUGAAUUCAAACAACAGGCGACCACUGCACUCCUACUGGAGCAGCCCAAACCAGACACCACCAAAUGCUGAGGAGAUUUGGAGGAUGGAGGAUUCAGUCACUGUUGGCAGGGAUGCAAAACAGGACAACCAAAGAAAGAGUCUGCACUUCCAAGAUGCCCCCUCACCUCCCCCACCCGAUGCCCAGGAGUAGCUAGUCCCAAAGGACACUUUGAAAAUUAUCACUACAGAGAAAAAAAAUCAAACCCUUUCUGGAGUUGGAGGGCGGGGGAAGCGAUAUCUCCAUCAGUAAAGCACUUGCCUUUAGAA